UUCGCAAUGCCCGAAAGGGUGACGAAGCGACGCCGCGUGCGGGAAGAAGGCCUUCGGGUUGUAAACCGCUGUCGGGAGUUAAGAAAUGUAAGGAUGUUAAUAGCAUCUUUGCUUGACUAAGGCUCCGGAGGAAGCCACGGCUAACUCUGUGCCAGCAGCCGCGGUAAUACAGAGGCGGCAAGCGUUGUUCGGAAUUAUUGGGCGUAAAGAGCACGUAGGCGGCUAUGUAAGUCGGUUGUGAAAGCCUUCCACUCAACGGGAGAACAGCAUCCGAUACUGCAUGGCUUGAGUGCGGGAGGGGAGAGUGGAACUUCUGGUGGAGCGGUGAAAUGCGUAGAUAUCAGAAGGAACGCCGGCGGCGAAAGCGGCUCUCUGGCCCAUAACUGACGCUGAGUGUGCGAAAGCUAGGGGAGCAAACGGGAUUAGAUACCCCGGUAGUCCUAGCCGUAAACGAUGGGCACUAAGUAGAGGGGUUUU
Molecule: ribosomal RNA, 477 nt
Filed under: uncultured Planctomycetales bacterium
Lineage: Bacteria; Pseudomonadati; Planctomycetota; Planctomycetia; Planctomycetales
Description: bacterial SSU rRNA
Rfam family: Bacterial small subunit ribosomal RNA
Source: RNAcentral